This 352-nucleotide ribosomal RNA is filed under the name uncultured cyanobacterium. RNAcentral describes it as "bacterial SSU rRNA". It matches the Rfam family "Bacterial small subunit ribosomal RNA", at positions 28 to 411 of the family's 1533-position model. Lineage: Bacteria; Bacillati; Cyanobacteriota. The record is from RNAcentral.
GAUGAACGCUGGCGGUAUGCUUAACACAUGCAAGUCGAACGAAGUCUUCGGACUUAGUGGCGGACGGGUGAGUAACGCGUAAGGACCUGCCCUUAAGAGGGGGAUAACAGUUGGAAACGACUGCUAAUACCCCAUAAGCCGAGAGGUGAAGUAUUUCGCUUAAGGAUGGCCUUGCGUCAGAUUAGCUAGUUGGUGGGGUAGAGGCCUACCAAGGCGACGAUCUGUAGCUGUUCUGAGAGGGAGAGCAGCCACACUGGGACUGAGACACGGCCCAGACUCCUACGGGAGGCAGCAGUGGGGAAUUUUCCGCAAUGGGCGAAAGCCUGACGGAGCAAGACCGCGUGGGGGAGGA